AGGCCGUUCCGGACGGAGCGGCAUCGGCCGACAUCACCCACCCGCUCCCGGCCAGAACGUUCAAUCCGUUGGUUGUGGGUUCGAGUCCCACACGGCCUA
RNAcentral lists this transfer RNA (99 nucleotides) under Streptomyces sp. SID4944. RNAcentral's name for it is "tRNA-Leu". The record is from RNAcentral. Lineage: Bacteria; Bacillati; Actinomycetota; Actinomycetes; Kitasatosporales; Streptomycetaceae.